RNAcentral lists this long non-coding RNA (1702 nucleotides) under Homo sapiens (human). RNAcentral describes it as "HSALNT0350246". Lineage: Eukaryota; Metazoa; Chordata; Mammalia; Primates; Hominidae. The record is from RNAcentral.
UCCUUUCUCUCUCUCUCGGAUCACUUAUGCUAAAAUACACAAGCUGCCAUGUCACAAACAGCCCUGUGAAGAGGCCUACAUGAUACAGCAAAGAACUGAGGCCCUCAGUCCAGCAGCCAGUGAGGAAUUAACACCCUCAAUCCAACAACCUGUGAGGGAAUCAAGCCUGCUAAUGAUCAGAUAAGUGAACAUGCAAGUCCGUCCUUCAGUGCCAAUUGAGUCUUUUCUUUUUCUUGGGAUAGAAUCUUAUUCUGUCACAAAGCGGUAUGAUCUAGGCUCACUGCAACCUCUGCCUCCUGGGUUCAAGUGAUUCUCCUGCCUCAGCCUCCCGAAUAGCUGGGAUUAUGGGCACGUGCCACCACACCCAGCUAAUUUUUGUAUUUUUAGUAGAGACAGGGUUUUUCCAUGUUGAUCAGGCUGGUCUCGAACUCCUGACCUCAGGUGAUCCACCCACCUCAGCCUCCCACAGUGCUGGGAUUACAGGUGUGCACCACUACGCUUGAACUGAUUUUUGUAUUUUUAGUAGAGAUGAGGCUUCAUCAUGUUGGCCAGGCUGGUCUUGAACUCCCGGCCUCAAGUGAUCCACCCACCUCAGCCUCCCAAAGUACUAGGAUUACAGGUGUGAGCCACUGCACCCAGCCCCUACUUGAGUCUUAAGAUGAGACUGAAGGCCUGUCUGACAGUUUUACUGCAAUCUCAAAAGAGACCUUGAGCCAGCAAGAUCCAGCAAAGCCACUCUGGAUCCCUGAGCCACUGAAACUGUGAGGAAUGAACGUUCCCAAAUUGGAGCUGUCCAGCAAUAAGGUGGAUUGCCUUUGAAGAAGCUGAGUUCCUUGCCAUAGGAAGUAUUCAAGCAGAAAGGUACAAAGACUCAACGACAGAGUGCCAGAGAGGAUGUCUUAUGGAGAUGGUUGACAUAAACCUCUCUAACUGCAUGGGCUAGAAGGGAUCCAGGAAGCCCCCUAGAAACUUUCUCAGAGGUUUCCUCUCUCAGCUUGGAGCCCCCUCCCUCUGUCUCUACAGCUUACGACAGGUUUAUUGGGACAAUGCCAUCAUAAAUCAAGAAGCAUCUGUAAGUCCACUGAAAUAAAACGCAAACCAGCAACUCAGAGAGGUUCAUUGACUUGCCGAAGGCCACAAAGCUGUUAAGUGUUCAAACAGAUGGCGUCAAACCAGAUCUUUAGCCUCAGGGACCAGAGCUCUGCAGCCUGGAGGGGACCUUCUGCAGCAUCAUUGCACAGAAGACAUCAAUCAAUCAGUCUUUCAGUGGCCUUACAUUUUUCUCCACUUGCAGGUUAUGGGUCACCAUUUUACAAAUUCCUCCAGGACAGAAAGAAACUGUUUCUCCUGCCUGUUCUUUCCCAGCCCAGGCUGUCACCGGGGAUCCAAAUGUCAGGCUUUAUGCAAGUUCUCGAUGUUGGAACCUCUCAUGAAAAGUGGAGUGAACAAGAGGGAAAGUGGGCAAACCUCAGGCCUCACAGCUUUAAUGCCACCGAUGCAUUUGGUGAGGGACCUGAUCUCUCUGCUUCCAAGACAGAGUCUUGUUGCUGUCUUCCGGAGGGGAGGAACCCCGUGUCCUCACGUGGCAGAAGAGCAUAAGAGAGCAAACCCACUCCUUCAAACUCGCCUUUUAGAGAUGGGGUCUCACUCUGUCACCCAGGCUAGAGCGAGCAUAGUGGUAUGAUCCUAGCUCAUUGCAGCC